RNAcentral lists this ribosomal RNA (732 nucleotides) under uncultured cyanobacterium. RNAcentral's name for it is "bacterial SSU rRNA". It matches the Rfam family "Bacterial small subunit ribosomal RNA", at positions 12 to 819 of the family's 1533-position model. Lineage: Bacteria; Bacillati; Cyanobacteriota. The record is from RNAcentral.
UUUGACUGGCUCAGGAUUAACGCUGGCGGUAUGCUUAACACAUGCAAGUCGAACGGGACUUUUCGGAGAAUCUGGCUUCAGGUUCGGGACAACCAUUGGAAACGAUGGCUAAUACCGAAUGUGCCGCAGGGUGAAAGAUUAAUUGCCUGAAGAUGAGCUCGCGUCUGAUUAGCUAGUUGGUGGGGUAAGAGCCUACCAAGGCGACGAUCAGUAACUGGUCUGAGAGGAUGACCAGUCACACUGGGACUGAGACACGGCCCAGACUCCUACGGGAGGCAGCAGUGGGGAAUUUUCCGCAAUGGGCGAAAGCCUGACGGAGCAAUACCGCGUGAGGGAGGAAGGCUCUAGGGUUGUAAACCUCUUUUCUCAGGGAAGAACAAAAUGACGGUACCUGAGGAAUAAGCAUCGGCUAACUCCGUGCCAGCAGCCGCGGUAAUACGGAGGAUGCAAGCGUUAUCCGGAUUUAUUGGGCGUAAAGCGUCCGCAGGUGGCAGUUCAAGUCUGCUGUCAAAGGUCGGGGCUCAACCCCGAACAGGCAGUGGAAACUGAACAGCUAGAGUACGGUAGGGGCAGAGGGAAUUCCCAGUGUAGCGGUGAAAUGCGUAGAGAUUGGGAAGAACACCGGUGGCGAAAGCGCUCUGCUAGGCCGAAACUGACACUCAUGGACGAAAGCUAGGGGAGCGAAUGGGAUUAGAUACCCCAGUAGUCCUAGCCGUAAACGAUGGAUACUAG